This 808-nucleotide ribosomal RNA is filed under the name uncultured Phyllobacteriaceae bacterium. RNAcentral describes it as "bacterial SSU rRNA". It matches the Rfam family "Bacterial small subunit ribosomal RNA", at positions 48 to 890 of the family's 1533-position model. Lineage: Bacteria; Pseudomonadati; Pseudomonadota; Alphaproteobacteria; Hyphomicrobiales; Phyllobacteriaceae. The record is from RNAcentral.
GCUACACAUGCAAGUCGGAGGAGAAGCCGAUCUUCGGAUUGGUGGAGACUGGCGCACGGGUGAGUAACGCGUGGGAACCUGCCCAGGGGUGGGGGAUAACCGCUGGAAACGGCGGCUAAUACCGCAUACGCCUUAUGGGGGAAAGCCUUAUGGUGCCCUUGGAUGGGCCCGCGUUGGAUUAGCUAGUUGGUGGGGUAAAGGCCUACCAAGGCUGCGAUCUAUAGCUGGUCUGAGAGGAUGAUCAGCCACACUGGGACUGAGACACGGCCCAGACUCCUACGGGAGGCAGCAGUGGGGAAUAUUGGACAAUGGGCGCAAGCCUGAUCCAGCCAUGCCGCGUGGGUGAAGAAGGCCUUAGGGUUGUAAAGCCCUUUCACUGGUGAAGAUGAUGACGGUAACCAGGGAAGAAGCCCCGGCUAACUCCGUGCCAGCAGCCGCGGUAAUACGGAGGGGGCAAGCGUUGUUCGGAAUUACUGGGCGUAAAGGGCGCGUAGGCGGGAGAUCAAGUUAGGGGUGAAAGGCCUGGGCUCAACCUGGGAACUGCCUCUAAAACUGGUUUUCUUGAGUUCGGGAGAGGAUGGCGGAAUUCCCAGUGUAGAGGUGAAAUUCGUAGAUAUUGGGAAGAACACCGGUGGCGAAGGCGGCCAUCUGGCCCGACACUGACGCUGAGGCGCGAAAGCGUGGGGAGCAAACAGGAUUAGAUACCCUGGUAGUCCACGCCGUAAACGAUGUGUGCUAGCCGUUGGGGCCUCUGGUCUCGGUGGCGCAGCUAACGCGAUAAGCACACCGCCUGGGGAGUACGGCCGCA